UGGGGAAUAUUGCACAAUGGGGGAAGCCCUGAUGCAGCGACGCCGCGUGAACGAAGAAGGUAUUCGUAUCGUAAAGUUCUGUCCUAUGGGAAGAUAAUGACAGUACCAUAGAAGAAAGCUCCGGCUAAAUACGUGCCAGCAGCCGCGGUAAUACGUAUGGAGCGAGCGUUGUCCGGAAUUAUUGGGCGUAAAGGGUACGCAGGCGGUUUAAUAAGUCGAAUGUUAAAGAUCGGGGCUCAACCCCGUAAAGCAUUGGAAACUGAUAAACUUGAGUAGUGGAGAGGAAAGUGGAAUUCCUAGUGUAGUGGUGAAAUACGUAGAUAUUAGGAGGAAUACCAGUAGCGAAGGCGACUUUCUGGACACAAACUGACGCUGAGGUACGAAAGCGUGGGGAGCAAACAGG
RNAcentral lists this ribosomal RNA (403 nucleotides) under bacterium. RNAcentral's name for it is "partial 16S ribosomal RNA". It matches the Rfam family "Bacterial small subunit ribosomal RNA", at positions 355 to 776 of the family's 1533-position model. The record is from RNAcentral. RNAcentral also lists the same sequence under 1 other name.